UACGUAGGUGGCAAGCGUUGUCCGGAUUUACUGGGCGUAAAGAGCGCGCAGGCGGCUGGUCAAGUCCGAUGUGAAAUCUCCCGGCCCAACUGGGAAACUGCAUCGGAAACUGAUCGACUCGAAGGCAGGAGAGGGUAGUGGAAUUCCCGGUGUAGUGGUGAAAUGCGUAGAUAUCGGGAGGAACACCGGUGGCGAAGGCGACUACCUGGCCUGUUCUUGACGCUGAGGCGCGAAAGCUAGGGGAGCAAACGGG
This 253-nucleotide ribosomal RNA is filed under the name uncultured bacterium. Its description in RNAcentral is "partial 16S ribosomal RNA". It matches the Rfam family "Bacterial small subunit ribosomal RNA", at positions 524 to 776 of the family's 1533-position model. The record is from RNAcentral.